GUCUUUCCAACUGCAAAGACGUAGCUCUUCAGAUGAAGAUUUAUCAUGGGACCAAUGUAAUGGACACACUUUGGUGCCAAAACCUGCAUUCCUCUACUGCGGUCACACUUCAAGAAGGACUUCAAAACGGACUUUACCGUAAAGAAUUUGAAUUCAAGAACAACAAAUCACCAGAUAAUAAGACCUGAGUAGUGAGGACUCCAUCUUAGGACUCCAGUCACCUUUCCCCAAUGCUAUCCGCAUAUCAGCCUGUAUCACCUAAUCUUUUCUGUCGGAUGUGAGAUUUUCCUAACGGCAAUGGCAGGACUUCUUCCCAUCUUUAAAACAACUUUCUGACAGGUUGGGGAUUAGCAGGACUGCCUUCAAAGCCAAGUCUAUGUGUGAGCAGAUUUACUCAGAACACAGGGAAUAAUUAAGCCAAGGCCCUGCUUUACGCUGCAACCAACUAGAACCGAAACACUUUUUACCUGCAGAAGGACUAGAUUGAAGACACCACAAUGUUACUCGAAGCAUUUGAUUGUUACAGCUUCUCAUGCUCCCUUUGUUGUGUCGUUUUUUUUAACCUCUGAAUCACUAAUGUACAUUAGAUCAAGUAGACUAGAGCAGUGGUUCCCAAACUUUUUAUAGUCCCGUACCCCUUCAAACAUUCAACCUUCAGCUGCGUACCCCCUCUAGCACCAUGUUCAAUGCACUCUCAAAUGUUGUUUUUUGACAUUAUUGUAAGCCUGCCACACACACACUACACAAUACAUUUAUUAAACAUAAGAAUGAGUGUGAAUUUUUGUCACAACCCUGCUCGUGGGAAGGGACAAAGAGCUCUUAUGGGACCAGGGAACAAAUAAUAAUAUAAUAAUAAUCAAUCAUUUGUUCAGAUAUCGGUAAGUGGAAUGGAGGCAGGGCAUGAAAGGGAUAACGAAUCCAGUUGUUUGUGUCAUCCGUUUCAGGAAAGUACCUGCGUAAUUGCAUACCGAACUCACUCAGGUGCUUCGCUAUAUCACAUUAUAACCUGCGCAAUUCUGUAUGUUGUAAAAGCAUUACAUGGUCGCUGCCCACAUCAUUGCAUAGUGCAGAAAAUACACGAGUUCAGGGGCCUUGCUUUAACAAAGUUAACCAUUUUCACUGUAGUGUCCAAAACAUCUUUCAAACUGUCCGGCAUUCCCUUGACAGGAAGAGCCUCUCAGUGGUUGCUGCAGUGUACCCAAGAGGCAUCGGGAGCUACUCCUUUACCACUACACUAUGUCUCCCUGUCAUGGCUUUUGCGCCAUCAGUACAGAUACCAACACAUCUUGACCAGCAAAGUCUAUUUUAUGUCCAUGACUUUAAAAAUAUCCUCUCCUGUUGUCCUGGUUUCCAGUGGUUUGCAGAAGAGGAUGUCCUCCUUAAUUGACCCCCCAUAAACAUAACUGCCAUGUGUCAGGCCCUGUAACGCAUAGAAUUCACUGGAUUGUAUGCGAAGCAAUAAUUGUGUCAAAACAUCUCCUGCCAUGUCACUGAUGCGUCGUGAAACAGUGUUGUUUUAUGAAGACAUUGUCUGUAUAGUUUUCCCCCAGCUUUGUCUCAGCCAUAUCUGCUGCAGCAGGAAGAAUUAAGUCCUGGGGCUUGUCUGUCCUAAGCACUUGGGAAAUCACCAUAUAAUAUGCUUCUAUCCCCUUCUUAUUAAUG
Molecule: long non-coding RNA, 1662 nt
Organism: Oncorhynchus tshawytscha (Chinook salmon)
Lineage: Eukaryota; Metazoa; Chordata; Actinopteri; Salmoniformes; Salmonidae
Source: Ensembl